GCCUACGGGAGGCAGCAGUGGGGAAUAUUGGGCAAUGGGCGCAAGCCUGACCCAGCAACGCCGCGUGAAGGAAGAAGGCUUUCGGGUUGUAAACUUCUUUUAUUGAGGACGAAACAAAUGACGGUACUCAAUGAAUAAGCCACGGCUAACUACGUGCCAGCAGCCGCGGUAAUACGUAGGUGGCAAGCGUUAUCCGGAUUUACUGGGUGUAAAGGGCGUGUAGGCGGUACUGCAAGUCAGAUGUGAAAAUUAUGGGCUCAGCCCAUAACCUGCAUUUGAAACUGUAGUUCUUGAGUGAU
Molecule: ribosomal RNA, 299 nt
Filed under: uncultured bacterium
Lineage: Bacteria
Description: partial 16S ribosomal RNA
Rfam family: Bacterial small subunit ribosomal RNA
Source: RNAcentral